GCCACAUCAAACUGAAACACCAGUUCCCAUACAAUCACUGAAGUUAAGCAACAUCGAGCCUAAUCAGUAUCUACAUGGGUGACUACUUGGAAAUACUAGGUGGUGUAAG
Non-coding RNA from Acanthosepion pharaonis, 109 nucleotides. Lineage: Eukaryota; Metazoa; Mollusca; Cephalopoda; Sepiida; Sepiidae. The record is from the annotation of a GenBank genome assembly.